CACGUAGGGUGCGAGCGUUGUCCGGAAUUAUUGGGCGUAAAGAGCUCGUAGGCGGUGUGUCGCGUCGGCCGUGAAAACCUGCAGCUUAACUGUGGGCUUGCGGUCGAUACGGGCAUCACUGGAGUUCGGUAGGGGAGUCUGGAAUUCCUGGUGUAGCGGUGAAAUGCGCAGAUAUCAGGAGGAACACCGGUGGCGAAGGCGGGACUCUGGGCCGAUACUGACGCUGAGGAGCGAAAGCGUGGGGAGCAAACAGG
RNAcentral lists this ribosomal RNA (254 nucleotides) under uncultured bacterium. RNAcentral's name for it is "partial 16S ribosomal RNA". It matches the Rfam family "Bacterial small subunit ribosomal RNA", at positions 524 to 776 of the family's 1533-position model. The record is from RNAcentral.